AUUGAACGCUGGCGGCAUGCUUUACACAUGCAAGUCGAACGGUAGCAGGCCUUCGGGUGCUGACGAGUGGCGAACGGGUGAGUAAUGCAUCGGAACGUACCCAGAGGUGGGGGAUAACGCAGCGAAAGCUGUGCUAAUACCGCAUGUGAUCUGAGGAUGAAAGCGGGGGACCGAGCAGCAAUGUUUGGCCUCGCGCCUUUGGAGCGGCCGAUGUCGGAUUAGCUAGUUGGUGGGGUAAGGGCCUACCAAGGCGACGAUCCGUAGCUGGUCUGAGAGGACGACCAGCCACACUGGGACUGAGACACGGCCCAGACUCCUACGGGAGGCAGCAAUGGGGAAUUUUGGACAAUGGGCGCAAGCCUGAUCCAGCAAUGCCGCGUGCGGGAAGAAGGCCUUCGGGUUGUAAACCGCUUUUGGCAGGAACGAAACGGUGUCCGCUAAUACCGGGCGCUAAUGACGGUACCUGCAGAAUAAGCACCGGCUAACUACGUG
RNAcentral lists this ribosomal RNA (492 nucleotides) under uncultured bacterium. Its description in RNAcentral is "partial 16S ribosomal RNA". It matches the Rfam family "Bacterial small subunit ribosomal RNA", at positions 29 to 507 of the family's 1533-position model. The record is from RNAcentral.